GCGGCGGACGGGUGAGUAACGCGUGGGUAACCUGCCUCAUACAGGGGGAUAACAGUUAGAAAUGGCUGCUAAUACCGCAUAAGACCACAGUACUGCAUGGUACAGUGGUAAAAACUCCGGUGGUAUGAGAUGGACCCGCGUCUGAUUAGGUAGUUGGUGAGGUAACGGCCCACCAAGCCGACGAUCAGUAGCCGACCUGAGAGGGUGACCGGCCACAUUGGGACUGAGACACGGCCCAGACUCCUACGGGAGGCAGCAGUGGGGAAUAUUGCACAAUGGGCGAAAGCCUGAUGCAGCGACGCCGCGUGAAGGAUGAAGUAUUUCGGUAUGUAAACUUCUAUCAGCAGGGAAGAAAAUGACGGUACCUGACUAAGAAGCCCCGGCUAACUACGUGCCAGCAGCCGCGGUAAUACGUAGGGGGCAAGCGUUAUCCGGAUUUACUGGGUGUAAAGGGAGCGUAGACGGCUGUGCAAGUCUGAAGUGAAAGGCAUGGGCUCAACCUGUGGACUGCUUUGGAAACUGUGCAGCUAGAGUGUCGGAGAGGUAAGUGGAAUUCCUAGUGUAGCGGUGAAAUGCGUAGAUAUUAGGAGGAACACCAGUGGCGAAGGCG
RNAcentral lists this ribosomal RNA (610 nucleotides) under uncultured Lachnospiraceae bacterium. RNAcentral's name for it is "bacterial SSU rRNA". It matches the Rfam family "Bacterial small subunit ribosomal RNA", at positions 95 to 723 of the family's 1533-position model. Lineage: Bacteria; Bacillati; Bacillota; Clostridia; Lachnospirales; Lachnospiraceae. The record is from RNAcentral.